Molecule: RNase P RNA, 424 nt
Filed under: Alicyclobacillus dauci
Lineage: Bacteria; Bacillati; Bacillota; Bacilli; Caryophanales; Alicyclobacillaceae
Description: RNase P RNA component class A
Rfam family: Bacterial RNase P class A
About the family: Ribonuclease P (RNase P) is a ubiquitous endoribonuclease, found in archaea, bacteria and eukarya as well as chloroplasts and mitochondria.
Source: RNAcentral
GAAGUAAGCUGGGCAAUCGCCGGUGCAGUGCCGAAAGGCCGCACGGGAGGAAAGUCCGAGCUCCAUAGGGCAGGGUGCCGGAUAACGUCCGGCGAGAGCGAUCUUAGGGAUAGUGCCACAGAAAUGUAGACCGCCGAUGGUCCAUGCUAUGGACACAGGCAAGGAUGCAACGGUGCGGUAAGAGCGCACCAGCAGCCUGGAGACAGGCUGGCUAGGUAAACCCCACUCGGAGCAAGACCGGAUAGGAGUGCAUAUGUGGCUGCCCGUCACGCACUCGGGUUGGUCGCUUGAGUCGGCUGGCAACAGUCGACCUAGAUAGAUGAUUGCUACUCCAGAAGUGCGAGGUAUACAAGGGCAUUGCGUGUCCAUCGAUACCGCUUGGAGCACAGGAGCACAGAACUCGGCUUACAGGCUUGCUUCUUCG